UACGUAGGGUGCAAGCGUUGCCCGGAUUUAUUGGGCGUAAAGGGCGCGUAGGCGGCUCUGCACGUUCGUUGUGAAAUCGCCCGGCUCAACUGGGCGGGGUCAGCGGAUACGGCAGAGCUUGAGCAAGCUAGGGGGCAAUGGAAUUCCCGGUGUAGCGGUGAAAUGCGCAGAUAUCGGGAAGAACACCCGUGGCGAAGGCGGCUCUCUGGGACGGUACUGACGCUGAGACGCGAAAGCGUGGGGAGCGAACAGG
Molecule: ribosomal RNA, 253 nt
Filed under: uncultured bacterium
Lineage: Bacteria
Description: partial 16S ribosomal RNA
Rfam family: Bacterial small subunit ribosomal RNA
Source: RNAcentral